Molecule: ribosomal RNA, 509 nt
Filed under: uncultured eukaryote
Lineage: Eukaryota
Description: SSU rRNA
Rfam family: Eukaryotic small subunit ribosomal RNA
Source: RNAcentral
UUAAGCCAUGCAUGUCUCAGUAUAAGCUUCUAUACGGCGAAACUGCGAAUGGCUCAUUAAAACAGUUAUAGUUUAUUUGGUGGUCAGCAAUUACAUGGAUAACCGUGGUAAUUCUAGAGCUAAUACAUGCGUCCAAACCCGACUUCGUGGAAGGGUUGUGUUUAUUAGAUACAGAACCAACCCAGGCUCCGCCUGGCCUUGAGGUGAUUCAUAAUAACCGAACGAAUCGCAUGGCUAUGCCGGCGAUAGACCAUUCAAGUUUCUGACCUAUCAGCUAUCGUCGGUAGGGUAUUGGCCUACCGUGGCAAUGACGGGUAACGGAGAAUUAGGGUUCGAUUCCGGAGAGGGAGCCUGAGAAACGGCUACCACAUCUAAGGAAGGCAGCAGGCGCGCAAAUUACCCAAUCCUGACGCAGGGAGGUAGUGACAAGAAAUAACAAUACAGGGCAUACAUGUCUUGUAAUUGGAAUGAGUAAACUUUAAAUCACUUUACGAGUAUCAAUUGGAGGG